GAUGAACGCUGGCGGCGUGCUUAACACAUGCAAGUCGAACGGAAAGGCUCCUGCUUGCAGGGGUACUCGAGUGGCGAACGGGUGAGUAACACGUGGGUGAUCUGCCCUGCACUUCGGGAUAAGCCUGGGAAACUGGGUCUAAUACCGGAUAGAACGUUGUUUUGGAUGCCAUUGUGGAAAGUUUUUCGGUUUGGGAUGAGCUCGCGGCCUAUCAGCUGGUUGGUGGGGUAAUGGCUUACCAAGGCGUCGACGGGUAGCCGGCCUGAGAGGGUGUACGGCCACAUUGGGACUGAGAUACGGCCCAGACGCCUACGGGAGGCAGCAGUGGGGAAUAUUGCACAAUGGGCGCAAGCCUGAUGCAGCGACGCCGCGUGGGGGAUGACGGCCUUCGGGUUGUAAACUCCUUUCGCUAGGGACGAAGCGCAAGUGACGGUACCUGGAGAAGAAGCACCGGCUAACUACGUG
RNAcentral lists this ribosomal RNA (465 nucleotides) under uncultured bacterium. RNAcentral's name for it is "partial 16S ribosomal RNA". It matches the Rfam family "Bacterial small subunit ribosomal RNA", at positions 28 to 507 of the family's 1533-position model. The record is from RNAcentral.